AUUGAACGCUGGCGGCAAGCCUAACACAUGCAAGUCGAACGAGUGGCGGACGGGUGAGUAAUGUCUGGGAAACUGCCUGAUGGAGGGGGAUAAAUACUGGAAACGGUAGCUAAUACCGCAUACCAUCGGAUGUGCCCAGAUGGGAUUAGAUAGUAGGUGGGGGAAAGGCUCACCUAGGCGACGAUCCCUAGCUGGUCUGAGAGGGUGACCAGCCACACUGCAACUGAGACACGGUCCAGACUCCUACGGGAGGCGGCAGUGGGGAAUAUUGCACACUGGGCGCAAGCCUUAUGCAGCCAUGCCGCGUGUAUGAAGAAGGCCUUCGGGUUGUAAAGUCCUUUCAGCGGUGAGGCGUUACCCGCAGAAGAAGCACCGGCUAACUCCGUGCCAGCAGCCGCGGUAAUUC
This 406-nucleotide ribosomal RNA is filed under the name uncultured bacterium. Its description in RNAcentral is "partial 16S ribosomal RNA". It matches the Rfam family "Bacterial small subunit ribosomal RNA", at positions 30 to 526 of the family's 1533-position model. The record is from RNAcentral.